This 572-nucleotide ribosomal RNA is filed under the name uncultured bacterium. RNAcentral's name for it is "bacterial SSU rRNA". It matches the Rfam family "Bacterial small subunit ribosomal RNA", at positions 240 to 803 of the family's 1533-position model. The record is from RNAcentral.
AUCAGCUAGUUGGUAGGGUAAUGGCCUACCAAGGCGACGACGGGUAGCUGGUCUGAGAGGAUGAUCAGCCACACUGGCACUGGAACACGGGCCAGACUCCUACGGGAGGCAGCAGUGAGGAAUUUUGCGCAAUGGGGGAAACCCUGACGCAGCAACGCCGCGUGGGUGAUGAAGGCCUUCGGGUCGUAAAGCCCUGUCAGGUGGGAAGAAAGGCUUUAGGAUGAAUAAGCCUUGAGUUUGACGGUACCACCAGAGGAAGCACCGGCUAACUCCGUGCCAGCAGCCGCGGUAAUACGGAGGGUGCUAGCGUUAUUCGGAAUUACUGGGCGUAAAGCGCGUGUAGGCGGCUAGGCAAGUCUGAUGUGAAAGCCCUGGGCUUAACCCGGGAAGUGCAUUGGAAACUGCCUGGCUUGAGUACCGGAGAGGAUGGGGGAAUUCCCGGUGUAGAGGUGAAAUUCGUAGAGAUCGGGAGGAAUACCAGUGGCGAAGGCGCCCAUCUGGACGGUAACUGACGCUGAGACGCGAAAGCGUGGGGAGCAAACAGGAUUAGAUACCCUGGUAGUCCACGCCGU